RNAcentral lists this unclassified non-coding RNA (263 nucleotides) under plant metagenome. Its description in RNAcentral is "partial contains small subunit ribosomal RNA, internal transcribed spacer 1, and 5.8S ribosomal RNA". The record is from RNAcentral.
UUUCCGUAGGUGAACCUGCGGAAGGAUCAUUAUUGUAUAACCGAGGUGCGAGGGCUGUCGCUGACCCGAAAGGUCGUGCACGCCCGAGUGCCCUCACACACAUCCAUCUCGCCCCUUUGUGCACCACCGCGUGGGUCCACCUUUGGCUUGUUCGGAGGGGGGCUUACGUUUUCACACAAACUUUGUAUGCAGUGUAGAAUGUAUUUUUUGUUUUUGCGUUCACGCAAUCAAUACAACUUUCAACAACGGAUCUCUUGGCUCUC